RNAcentral lists this unclassified non-coding RNA (252 nucleotides) under Glomeraceae sp. Its description in RNAcentral is "partial contains 5.8S ribosomal RNA and internal transcribed spacer 2". The stretch from base 1 to 71 matches the Rfam family "5.8S ribosomal RNA", at positions 84 to 154 of the family's 154-position model. The record is from RNAcentral. Lineage: Eukaryota; Fungi; Glomeromycota; Glomeromycetes; Glomerales; Glomeraceae.
GUGAAUCAUCAAAUUUUUGAACGCAAAUUGCACUCUCUGGUAUUCCGGAGAGUAUGCCUGUUUGAGGGUCAGUUUAAAUAAAAAUCGGUGUGGGUGCUGCUUUUCGUGGUGACGCACCGGAUGUGGGUCUUCUUACCUUCGGUUAAGUGACCUAAAAUUUUUCAUGAUUUUCUUGAACGAAUUUAAAUGAUUUUACGUAUGUUUUCGAUUUCGAAGACUAGGUGCGGUCAUCCUCAUGAUCCGCGCCUAUAA